UACGAAGGGGGCUAGCGUUGCUCGGAAUCACUGGGCGUAAAGCGCACGUAGGCGGCUUUUUAAGUCAGGGGUGAAAUCCUGGAGCUCAACUCCAGAACUGCCUUUGAUACUGGGAAGCUUCGAGUCCGGAAGAGGUGAGUGGAACUGCGAGUGUAGAGGUGAAAUUCGUAGAUAUUCGCAAGAACACCAGUGGCGAAGGCGGCUCACUGGUCCGGUACUGACGCUGAGGUGCGAAAGCGUGGGGAGCAAACAGG
Molecule: ribosomal RNA, 254 nt
Filed under: uncultured bacterium
Lineage: Bacteria
Description: partial 16S ribosomal RNA
Rfam family: Bacterial small subunit ribosomal RNA
Source: RNAcentral